Molecule: ribosomal RNA, 614 nt
Filed under: Aspergillus flavus
Lineage: Eukaryota; Fungi; Ascomycota; Eurotiomycetes; Eurotiales; Aspergillaceae
Also listed under: 2 other names
Description: LSU rRNA
Rfam family: Eukaryotic large subunit ribosomal RNA
Source: RNAcentral
GCAUAUCAAUAAGCGGAGGAAAAGAAACCAACCGGGAUUGCCUCAGUAACGGCGAGUGAAGCGGCAAGAGCUCAAAUUUGAAAGCUGGCUCCUUCGGGGUCCGCAUUGUAAUUUGCAGAGGAUGCUUCGGGUGCGGCCCCUGUCUAAGUGCCCUGGAACGGGCCGUCAGAGAGGGUGAGAAUCCCGUCUGGGAUGGGGUGUCCGCGCCCGUGUGAAGCUCCUUCGACGAGUCGAGUUGUUUGGGAAUGCAGCUCUAAAUGGGUGGUAAAUUUCAUCUAAAGCUAAAUACUGGCCGGAGACCGAUAGCGCACAAGUAGAGUGAUCGAAAGAUGAAAAGCACUUUGAAAAGAGAGUUAAAAAGCACGUGAAAUUGUUGAAAGGGAAGCGCUUGCGACCAGACUCGCCUCCAGGGUUCAGCCGGCAUUCGUGCCGGUGUACUUCCCUGGGGGCGGGCCAGCGUCGGUUUGGGCGGCCGGUCAAAGGCUCCCGGAAUGUAGUGCCCUCCGGGGCACCUUAUAGCCGGGAGUGCAAUGCGGCCAGCCUGGACCGAGGAACGCGCUUCGGCACGGACGCUGGCAUAAUGGUCGUAAACGACCCGUCUUGAAACACGGACC